GCACCCGUAGCUCAAUUGGAUAGAGCGUCAGACUACGAAUCUGAAGGUUAUAGGUUCAAUCCCUGUCGGGUGCGCCA
Molecule: transfer RNA, 77 nt
Filed under: Pseudomonadota bacterium
Lineage: Bacteria; Pseudomonadati; Pseudomonadota
Also listed under: 2 other names
Description: Proteobacteria bacterium (wastewater metagenome) tRNA-Arg
Rfam family: tRNA
About the family: Transfer RNA (tRNA) molecules are approximately 80 nucleotides in length.
Source: RNAcentral